This 751-nucleotide ribosomal RNA is filed under the name Salmonella enterica. RNAcentral's name for it is "bacterial LSU rRNA". It matches the Rfam family "Bacterial large subunit ribosomal RNA", at positions 457 to 1211 of the family's 2925-position model. Lineage: Bacteria; Pseudomonadati; Pseudomonadota; Gammaproteobacteria; Enterobacterales; Enterobacteriaceae. The record is from RNAcentral.
CCUCCAAGGCUAAAUACUCCUGACUGACCGAUAGUGAACCAGUACCGUGAGGGAAAGGCGAAAAGAACCCCGGCGAGGGGAGUGAAAAAGAACCUGAAACCGUGUACGUACAAGCAGUGGGAGCACCUUCGGGUGUGACUGCGUACCUUUUGUAUAAUGGGUCAGCGACUUAUAUUCUGUAGCAAGGUUAACCGUAUAGGGGAGCCGGAGGGAAACCGAGUCUUAAUUGGGCGUUAAGUUGCAGGGUAUAGACCCGAAACCCGGUGAUCUAGCCAUGGGCAGGUUGAAGGUUGGGUAACACUAACUGGAGGACCGAACCGACUAAUGUUGAAAAAUUAGCGGAUGACCUGUGGCUGGGGGUGAAAGGCCAAUCAAACCGGGAGAUAGCUGGUUCUCCCCGAAAGCUAUUUAGGUAGCGCCUCGUGAAUUCAUCUCCGGGGGUAGAGCACUGUUUCGGCUAGGGGGCCAUCCCGGCUUACCAACCCGAUGCAAACUGCGAAUACCGGAGAAUGUUAUCACGGGAGACACACGGCGGGUGCUAACGUCCGUCGUGAAGAGGGAAACAACCCAGACCGCCAGCUAAGGUCCCAAAGUCAUGGUUAAGUGGGAAACGAUGUGGGAAGGCCCAGACAGCCAGGAUGUUGGCUUAGAAGCAGCCAUCAUUUAAAGAAAGCGUAAUAGCUCACUGGUCGAGUCGGCCUGCGCGGAAGAUGUAACGGGGCUAAACCAUGCACCGAAGCUGCGGCAGCGA